GACGAACGCUGGCGGCGUGCUUAACACAUGCAAGUCGAACGGAAAGGCCCUGCUUUUGUGGGGUGCUCGAGUGGCGAACGGGUGAGUAACACGUGAGUAACCUGCCCUUGACUUUGGGAUAACUUCAGGAAACUGGGGCUAAUACCGGAUAGGAGCUCCUGCUGCAUGGUGGGGGUUGGAAAGUUUCGGCGGUUGGGGAUGGACUCGCGGCUUAUCAGCUUGUUGGUGAGGUAGUGGCUUACCAAGGCUUUGACGGGUAGCCGGCCUGAGAGGGUGACCGGCCACAUUGGGACUGAGAUACGGACCAGACUGCUACGGGAGGCAGCAGUGGGGAAUAUUGCACAAUGGGCGGAAGCCUGAUGCAGCAACGCCGCGUGCGGGAUGACGGCCUUCGGGUUGUAAACCGCUUUCGCCUGUGACGAAGCGUGAGUGACGGUAAUGGGUAAAGAAGCACCGGCUAACUACGUG
RNAcentral lists this ribosomal RNA (468 nucleotides) under uncultured bacterium. RNAcentral describes it as "partial 16S ribosomal RNA". It matches the Rfam family "Bacterial small subunit ribosomal RNA", at positions 28 to 507 of the family's 1533-position model. The record is from RNAcentral.